CGCUUCCGUCCGUACGCAGUGCGGCUGUGUCGGUAAAAUUCUAUUGUGUCGAUGGUGACGGUUAAAUUUGUGUCCGAACGGCGGACUCAUUUAUCUUUACAAUCCCAACCGCUACCGCUGCAGUGUGUGGGCACCUUAAUAUUAAUAAUCUUACAGUAAAUAGGUAUCGUAUAAUUAAAAGUUGAUUAAACACAACGAAUUCCAAUUGGUCGUUGUUUACUAUUCUCGUACACUUAAUUUUUUUCUUAUAUAAUUCUCGGAUAAACCUUAUAGUAUCAAUAACGACUGCAGUGCUUUACUUGGAACACUAUUUGGACAUCAAGUUUAGUGAAUCUUCCUGUUGAGUUGCAAUGAAACCUCACUCUGAUGCUAGAUCUCGACUCAAGGCCUCAACAACUGAUGUGCAACAUUGACAAACUGGCAGACGAUAUGUGAAAUGUCAAAGAAUACACACCAGAUAAGAAAGAUGAAACUUUUACCAACGUACUACGUCAGUUUGACAAAGCAAAAGAAUAUAAUGAUGAUAAAGUCCAAUUGGCUAUACAAACUUAUGAAUUGUGUCCUAUUGAAUAGUUGUACAUUGCAUGCGUCUAAUUGAGAACACGUAAAAACCUGGAAUUUAAUAUCUGGAUUGGACAAAAUUGGACUAUAAAAAAUUGGGAUUGAACCAUUAGUCUUUGAGUAUUGUAGUGUUAGUUUAAUAGUGAUCCUAACUGCCAUUCUCAAAGGCUAUAAGUUCUGUCCUAAUUGUAUAACAGACAGAAAAAAAAACAUCUUAAAAAUGAAAUAAGUUUUUAUAUUUUAUAUAUAAAUACAUAUAAAGUUGGGUCUUGAUAACUCAAAUUUCAAGGGAAGUAAAAGUUAAUUAAACCUAUGUAUUUUUUGAGUUACAAAUAUUGUAUUGAGUAUAUAAGAAUUCCAUUGGGACAAAAAGAAAUUUGAGUUAUCGAGACUCGACUGUAUUGUGUAGCUAUAUAGUAGGGGUGGCCAACAUGAAUGUGUUCACAAACCACAUGGACAAAUACAAUUAUGCCAUAAGCCAAAAUGUAUAUAGAUGAAUUUUAUAUAAUUUGAUAAAUUUUAAUAAACACUUACCAAAAAAUUUAAAUUUAUAACAAUAGUAAGUAAGUUAAGAUUUUAUAAUUAAGAUGCGAGCCAUC
Molecule: long non-coding RNA, 1160 nt
Organism: Aphis gossypii (cotton aphid)
Lineage: Eukaryota; Metazoa; Arthropoda; Insecta; Hemiptera; Aphididae
Exons: 3
Source: RefSeq, a predicted model, not a curated record